Molecule: ribosomal RNA, 440 nt
Filed under: uncultured bacterium
Lineage: Bacteria
Description: bacterial SSU rRNA
Rfam family: Bacterial small subunit ribosomal RNA
Source: RNAcentral
CCCACGGGGGGCAGCAGUGGGGAAUAUUGCACAAUGGGGGAAACCCUGAUGCAGCGACGCCGCGUGAGCGAUGAAGUAUUUCGGUAUGUAAAGCUCUAUCAGCAGGGAAGAAACUGACGGUACCUGACUAAGAAGCACCGGCUAAAUACGUGCCAGCAGCCGCGGUAAUACGUAUGGUGCAAGCGUUAUCCGGAUUUACUGGGUGUAAAGGGAGCGUAGACGGACUUGCAAGUCUGAAGUGAAAGCCCGGGGCUCAACCCCGGGACUGCUUUGGAAACUGUAGGUCUAGAGUGCUGGAGAGGUAAGUGGAAUUCCUAGUGUAGCGGUGAAAUGCGUAGAUAUUAGGAGGAACACCAGUGGCGAAGGCGGCUUACUGGACAGUAACUGACGUUGAGGCUCGAAAGCGUGGGGAGCAAACAGGAUUAGAUACCCCGGUAGUC